This 30-nucleotide small RNA is filed under the name Bombyx mori (domestic silkworm). RNAcentral describes it as "ovarian small RNA-21735". Lineage: Eukaryota; Metazoa; Arthropoda; Insecta; Lepidoptera; Bombycidae. The record is from RNAcentral.
UAGAAAAGUUAUACUGUCUGCGAGUACCUC